Molecule: non-coding RNA, 1075 nt
Organism: Pseudonaja textilis
Lineage: Eukaryota; Metazoa; Chordata; Lepidosauria; Squamata; Elapidae
Source: RefSeq, a predicted model, not a curated record
AGAAUCCCAUCCCUGGAUGAGGGUGAUAGUAGGAUUGUGCUCUGGUCUUGCUCCAUCCUGCCUUAGUACCUGGAUUUCCUCUGCGUACGCUUGCGGGGGGGAGCUUUACUAGUGUACCUUCUGCUAAUCUAAUGGUCCUCCAGAUAUCGCCAAAGGCUGGGCAACUUGAAAUCCACACCAGUCAAGGAGGGCUAUCUUACUGUAUCUGCCAGUUACACGUAGGUUACAAAGCAUAAAGGCCUGGAGAGAAAAGACAUUCCCUUUAACCGCAGAAUGUCUCUCCUUUGGACUCUGGGGGAACGAGAGGAAUUUAAGUGCCUGCUUCUCUGGAGAUGGUCGCUUCUGCUUAGCAUUGGGUGCUCUAGAAAAACAGAUUUCAAGGAAAGGACCUCGUUUUGAGUUCCUGGCAACCCCUUGUGUGUGUGUUUUAGUUAUUUGUCUUGUCUUUCUGAUGGGUCUUCGCAAAGGGCGUAGAUUUCAGACAUGACCCUUGUUUAUAAAAGCUAACCGAGUUGGACACCGAAAAAAGCUAAAUAAGAAGGAAAGAGCUUGAAAGAUGGGUAUUCUGAUUAGACGGCAUUCGAGCAGUUUAUGUUCUUUUCAGUUUUACUUGGAACCAUGUCCUCCUCCUCCUCCUCCUCCUCCUUCGAGAGAUUAUGAAGGAUUUGUUAGGAAGAAAUGUUUUGGGAAUCGGAUCAGGGUCUGCUUAUCCUGUUCUCGUAGGCUUUGUGUGAAGGAAGAGGCCGCGUUCGGAGAAGUCUCUUUCCCUCUAUUGCAUUCUUGCGAAGGUGAUUGCACUGACACCUGAAUUGCUUUAAUUGCUGAAAUUUGUGUUUUCUCUGGUGUCCGUCUCCAGAUCUCAACUCCGUGCUGUCUGUCUUUCACCAGGCCUUUCAAUGAAGAUAGGAAAUAGCUUGAAAGCAAAGAUAGACAUCCUAACCAAGAUGGGACCAAAGCCUUGUUUAAAUAGAAUGUACAUAUCUACCAGAGCUUAAGCACAACAAACCAGCUUUUCUUUCUUUGUCCUGUCAAGGCAGCUAAAUAGACAUGUGCAGGUAUAAAGGGAGAAUAAAAA